RNAcentral lists this ribosomal RNA (400 nucleotides) under uncultured bacterium. Its description in RNAcentral is "bacterial SSU rRNA". It matches the Rfam family "Bacterial small subunit ribosomal RNA", at positions 356 to 773 of the family's 1533-position model. The record is from RNAcentral.
GGGGAAUAUUGCACAAUGGAGGAAACUCUGAUGCAGCAACGCCGCGUGAGUGAUGAAGGUCUUCGGAUUGUAAAGCUCUGUCUUCUGGGACGAUAAUGACGGUACCCGGCCAGAAAGCCACGGCUAACUACGUGCCAGCAGCCGCGGUAAUACGUAGGUGGCAAGCGUUGUCCGGAUUUACUGGGCGUAAAGGAUGUGUAGGCGGAUAUUUAAGUGAGAUGUGAAAUCCCCGGGCUUAACUUGGGGGCUGCAUUUCAAACUGGAUGUCUAGAGUGCAGGAGAGGAAAGCAGAAUUCCUAGUGUAGCGGUGAAAUGCGUAGAGAUUAGGAAGAAUACCAGUGGCGAAGGCGGCUUUCUGGACUGUAACUGACGCUGAGGCAUGAAAGCGUGGGGAGCAAAC